UCCUGACCGAAACACACUGCCAUUGGCUCAGGCAAGCCUGCAGCCUGACUGGGGUCGGCUGCCCCUGGGCCACUUCCAACCUCCCCCUCACUGGGUACUUGCCCUCUGCCAGCGUCGUCCGGGGCGUCCCAGACCAUGGGUUCCUCAGGGUGUCCGCCGUCGGGAGGUCCAGUCCACUCCUCGGGGUACCGGGCGGCGGGAGGUCCAGUCCACUCCUCGGGGUACCGGGCGCCGGGAGGUCCAGUCCACUCCUCGGGGUACCGGGCGGCGGGAGGUCCAGUCCACUCCUCGGGGUACCGGGCGGCGGGAGGUCCAGGCAGCUCCUCCACAGGCCGAGCGUCGGACCGCUCAGUCAGCUCCUCUGAGUGCUGGCCCCAGGGGAGGUCAGGCCAGUACUCCUCCGGGUACUGGGCACGGGGUAGGCCGGGCCCAGCGGGAGCUCGGGCCCUAG
This is a long non-coding RNA of Gopherus flavomarginatus (Mexican gopher tortoise), 451 nucleotides long. RefSeq lists it as uncharacterized. The record is from RefSeq and is a predicted model, not a curated record. The transcript has 3 exons. Lineage: Eukaryota; Metazoa; Chordata; Testudines; Testudinidae.